GAUUAACGCUAGCGGCAGGCCUAAUACAUGCAAGUCGAACGGUAACAGGUGUAGCAAUACAUGCUGACGAGUGGCGCACGGGUGCGUAACACGUAUGCAAACUACCUAUAACUGGGGAAUAGCCUUCCGAAAGGAAGAUUAACACCGCAUAACAUCACGAAACGGCAUCGUUUUGUGAUCAAACCUCCGGGGGUUCUAGAUGGGCAUGAGUAACAUUAGCUAGUUGGUGAGGUAAGGGCUCACCAAGGCUACGCUGUUUAGGGGGUCUGGGAGGAUGUUCCCCCAGACGGGUAAGAAGACAGGGCCCAGAUUCCUAGGGGAGGCAGCAGUAGGGAAUAUUGGACAAUGGGGGCAACCCUGAUCCAGCCAUGCCGCGUGAAGGAGGAAGGCCCGCUGGGUUGUAAACUUCUUUUGUACGGGAAUAACCCCCUUUACGUGUAGAGGGCUGAAUGUACCGUAAGAAUAAGGAUCGGCUAACUUCGUGACAGCCGCCGCCGUAA
RNAcentral lists this ribosomal RNA (500 nucleotides) under uncultured bacterium. RNAcentral describes it as "partial 16S ribosomal RNA". It matches the Rfam family "Bacterial small subunit ribosomal RNA", at positions 28 to 523 of the family's 1533-position model. The record is from RNAcentral.